Molecule: long non-coding RNA, 371 nt
Organism: Penaeus monodon (black tiger shrimp)
Lineage: Eukaryota; Metazoa; Arthropoda; Malacostraca; Decapoda; Penaeidae
Exons: 3
Source: RefSeq, a predicted model, not a curated record
GACUUGGCUGCCUUGGAUGAAUCGGAUAAACUACCAUUUCCAAAUGAUGAGAAUGAUUUUAGUCCCCCAGACAUAGAGUUUUUCUGAUCUUUUAGAUGAAAGGGUAAAGCCAGAUGACAAAGAAAGAAAGAAUUAGAGCCAGAGGAAGACCCCCAAAGAAAGGGGAUAGGGACAAGGAUGAUGUCUCCAGUAGACGAGAUCGAGUCCGAGAGGUCCGAGAUGAGGAUGAUGACACACCCCGCAGGCAAGGCAAGCGUGGCCCGUGACUCUAAACCUUCCCCCCCAGCCCACACUCCAACUUCCAACAAGAGACUAGAAAUUGACCGAAGUUAUUUUUAAUGGCAUUGGGUAUUAUUUUUUGCUCGCAUGGG